Molecule: ribosomal RNA, 449 nt
Filed under: uncultured bacterium
Lineage: Bacteria
Description: bacterial SSU rRNA
Rfam family: Bacterial small subunit ribosomal RNA
Source: RNAcentral
GUCGAGAAUUUUUCACAAUGGGCGAAAGCCUGAUGGAGCGACGCCGCGUGGGGGAUGAAGGGCUUCGGCUCGUAAACCCCUGUCAUUUGCGAACAAAGGCGCCGACCUAACACGUCGUCGUCUGAUAGUAGCAGAAGAGGAAGGGACGGCUAACUCUGUGCCAGCAGCCGCGGUAAUACAGAGGUCCCAAGCGUUGUUCGGAUUCACUGGGCGUAAAGGGUGCGUAGGUGGUGGACUAAGUCGGGUGUGAAAUCUCCGGGCUCAACCCGGAGGGUGCGCCCGAAACUGGUCUGCUAGAGGAUAGGAGGGGAGACUGGAAUUCUCGGUGUAGCAGUGAAAUGCGUAGAUAUCGAGAGGAACACCCGUGGCGAAGGCGAGUCUCUGGACUAUUCCUGACACUGAGGCACGAAAGCCGGGGGAGCAAACAGGAUUAGAAACCCCAGUAGUCC